CCGAUACACAGACAUACACACAAUGAUACCUUGUUUCCCACACACAGAUACACAGACACUCAUGUACACAGAUACACAAUACACACAAUACACACAGACACACAUGGACACACAAAUACACACACACUGACACAAAAGGGUGAGAAGGGGUUACAGUGUGGGGAGGAGGGCAGGGAGAGAAGGGGUACAGUGUAGGGAGAAGGGCAGAGAGAAGGGGUACAGUGUGGGGAGGAGGGCAGGGAGAGAAGGGGUACAGUGUGGGGAGAAGGGCAGAGAGAAGGGGUACAGUGUGGGGAGAAGGGCAGAGAGAAGGGGUACAGUGUGGGGGGGGGAGGUAGGGAAAGAAAGGGUUACAGUGCCGUGGUAACACUCUGGGUGCUCGAGACCGGAGGAGCUGGGCAGACUGAUUGAAGGGAGCCCAGCGGCAUACAGGCCUGACUAAUCAAUCUG
Pelobates cultripes (western spadefoot toad) is the source of this 450-nucleotide non-coding RNA. The record is from the annotation of a GenBank genome assembly. NCBI's taxonomy places the organism in Eukaryota, Metazoa, Chordata, Amphibia, Anura, Pelobatidae.